CAGCAGCCACGGGAAUACGUAGGGUGCGAGCGUUAAUCGGAAUUACUGGGCGUAAAGCGUGCGCAGGCGGUUCGUUAAGACAGAUGUGAAAUCCCCGGGCUUAACCUGGGAACUGCAUUUGUGACUGGCGAGCUAGAGUAUGGCAGAGGGGGGUAGAAUUCCACGUGUAGCAGUGAGAUGCGUAGAGAUGUGGAGGAAUACCGAUGGCGAAGGCAGCCCCCUGGGCCAAUACUGACGCUCAUGCACGAAAGCGUGGGGAGCAAACAGGAUUAGAUACCCGGGUAGUCCCUGUCUCUUAUAC
This 301-nucleotide ribosomal RNA is filed under the name uncultured bacterium. Its description in RNAcentral is "partial 16S ribosomal RNA". It matches the Rfam family "Bacterial small subunit ribosomal RNA", at positions 509 to 807 of the family's 1533-position model. The record is from RNAcentral.